This is a long non-coding RNA of Dreissena polymorpha, 840 nucleotides long. RefSeq lists it as uncharacterized. NCBI's taxonomy places the organism in Eukaryota, Metazoa, Mollusca, Bivalvia, Myida, Dreissenidae. The record is from RefSeq and is a predicted model, not a curated record. The transcript has 2 exons.
AGUAUUCCAUUUUAUCCCAUCAUCAGACGUGCAUUGUCGAAAUAAACCACUGUGGAAUAAAUUUUCCUCUAUUUCAGCAGUGCUGAAAUAUAGCUGUCACGCGCGGCGGAGAAUGGUCAUAUUACUCGGAAUCAACUAUAAAGUAAUCAUUUUUAGUAAAAUCGAAUCGAUUCAACAAAACAAACAAUUUGAUACCAAAAUGUAAUAUAUUUUUAACACAUAAUGCAACUCAAAAAGCAAAUAAACAUUAUUUACAAAUAUUAAGUGCGCGUACUCGUGACGUCAUUAUUAACACGUUGAUGACCAUACGACACAAUGCAUGUUGUUUCACGCUAAAGAUGCAGUUGUUAAGUGUCUUUUUUUCCCAUUAUUUCUUAAAAAUCGGGGACGUAGAGGUACAGUAGUUCGAUUUUUCUAUUCUAUUUUUAAAGAAAUAAUUUACGACUAAGAAAAUUGAUGGGAUAAAUGGAAUACUAGGUCGGUGCCGAAUAAAGCAAAGUUUAUCUUGCUCGGCACGAAAAUCUAAACCACACGCAAAGGCUCGUGGUUCAGAUUUUCUAAGCCUCGCAAAAUAAACGUUGCUUUAUUCGGCACCGACCUAGUAUUCUCUAAAUGCCCAGUUUUCUCAGAACGUGACUCAUAUUAAUGUAAACCAAUGUAAAUAUACGAUCUUGCUGUUUAUUCAUGUUUAACAAAAAUUGUUAUUUAUUUCAUUUGUUUAUGUAUUUCUGAAGUCCUUGAUUUGACUUAAUUUGCAAACAUGUUUUGUUAUGCAUGGACUAUUUGAUUAUCAUGUUGAAUUUCUUUUUAUUUAAAUACUGAAAUAAAUGAAUUAUUUAA